GCCUGGGUGGCUCAGUCUGUUGGGCACCUGAUUUCGGCUCAGGUCAUGAUCUUGUGGCUCGUGGGUUCGAGCCCACAUUGGGCU
This 84-nucleotide transfer RNA is filed under the name Felis catus (domestic cat). It matches the Rfam family "tRNA". From Rfam's summary of the family: Transfer RNA (tRNA) molecules are approximately 80 nucleotides in length. Lineage: Eukaryota; Metazoa; Chordata; Mammalia; Carnivora; Felidae. The record is from Rfam by way of RNAcentral. RNAcentral also lists the same sequence under 1 other name.